UUUAGACUCCCUUUGUUCGAAAUUACUUGUCGAAGAAAUGGAUGUAUCUAGUCGUAUUUUAGUUCUAUAUACAUCUACUUUUAUUCAUUUUUGCAACAUGUAAUUCCAAACGGAGGGAGUAUAUA
Non-coding RNA from Triticum aestivum (bread wheat), 125 nucleotides. Lineage: Eukaryota; Viridiplantae; Streptophyta; Magnoliopsida; Poales; Poaceae. The record is from Rfam.